GCGCCAUUUCGCGCCUCCGGGCCGCUCGGCUGCCCCAGGGGCGCCUGGCAAACGUGGAGUCGCUCGGUUUUGGAGGCAUGCUUUCCAAACUUUCUAAUUCACAGGGUCUUUGCACGCAGCCCCUGCCCCACAACACCUUGGCAGUCUCUGAGACUUCUGGGGCUCUUCUCCCGGGCAGCUCCCGUGCCUGUCCGGUCCCGGAGUUGAAUAGUUUUUGAAGUAAUGAGACGGGAACGAGACUUGGGACGAACUGGAGAAAAACAUAACCGCGAAAGGAGGAGGCGGCUAUCACUUACUGGCUGUGUCAGAAGUCGCCGGGAACGCGUUGCUCCCGAGGCCGAAGGGCCCAGAGAGCUCCAGCCAGGCAGCGGGUUCGUCUCCGGCGCAAGAAGGCUGGCUGUCUUUAGUCAAGUCAAGCUCAUUCUGAAGCCUUUCCUGGGAGUCCUGAAGACUAGCAAUAAGUCCUUCUGCAGAGCCAAGACCUUGUUCACUUUUCCUUACCAUAUCUUGGAGGUGGCCAAUCUUGUGACGACACAUCAAGAAGGUGACCACCUGCAAGCCAGGAACAGAGCGCUCACUGUGGAACUGAAUUGGCUGCUACCUUGAUCUUGGACUUCCCAGCUCCCAGACUAGAUGAGCUCUCACUACGUUGCCCAGACUGGUGUUGAACUCCUGGCCUCAAGCAAUCCUCUCUCAACCUAUGGGCCACCACACCUAAACUACUUUUCAACUAAAGUGAGGAGACUGAGUAAUUUAUGAAGAAGUGUGGCUGCAGAGAAGUUUGUUCAGCAUGAAAUAAGAGCUCUACAAAGGACUUAUAAAAACGUGAUGAGAGAGGAUGGGAAGGGCUUGAGGAAGGGAGGGAUAGGGAAAGAUUUGUUAAAGGAUACAAAAGUACCCUGAUCUGAUCACUAAACACUAUAUGUAUCAAAACAUCAUACGUACCCCAUCAAUAUCUACAAUUAUUUGUCAAUUGAAACAAAAGAAAAAAAUAGGGGCAAGGCAUAGUGGCUCACACCUGUAAUCUCAACACUUUGGGAGCCUGCAUUUGGACCUGGGAUCCAGGCAGACAGAGGUAUGAGGCAAGAUGGACUGAACUGCUUGAGGCUUCCAAGACACACUCUAGUCUUACCAUUUUGAACACAGCCAACUAGAUUUUAC
RNAcentral lists this long non-coding RNA (1161 nucleotides) under Homo sapiens (human). Its description in RNAcentral is "HSALNT0336563". The record is from RNAcentral. Lineage: Eukaryota; Metazoa; Chordata; Mammalia; Primates; Hominidae.